This 6855-nucleotide long non-coding RNA is filed under the name Daucus carota (carrot). RNAcentral describes it as "long non-coding RNA (DCAR_LNC004531)". The record is from RNAcentral. Lineage: Eukaryota; Viridiplantae; Streptophyta; Magnoliopsida; Apiales; Apiaceae.
CUGUGGACCAAACGCCAGCCGGGAAAGCGAGCGUGUCGCUUGCCCGGUAAAUCCAGUAGUAGAGUUCACCAAGUGUGGCGCCAGCUUGAACCGUAGCCGUUUUAGCCACGGGGUCAACACUAAUGGCUCGGAGGUUAAUCAUGUCAAGUAACACAAAUGGAAUAUCAUAUGUGCUACUAUACGAAAGACCCUCGAAAUCAUGACCACCGCUUCGAAUUCGAAGCCUCAUUCCGUACUUUUUAGCACAAAAAACUACGGUUUGAACUUGAGAUUCGGCGGUGGGUUGCACUAUGAUUUGGGGUUUGAGUCGGGUGGAAUCAUUGAAACGAGGAUUCCGCAGGGAAUAUUCAUAGACAGGUGUGUAUGAAGCAUUGAGCGGGGUAUAAGUAACUUUUGUUAUGGAUGAGUCUAGAGAUUUACUCUUUAGGCAUUGAAGAAACUGUGUAGAAUCAGCAUAAGCUUGGGAUGAAAGAAAUGAAAUCACAAGGAAGAUUAACGAAAGAAAAGCAAAAUAAGGAGUACUAUUCAUUUUCAUCUCAACUUUUUUUUUUUUGUUGUUGUUGUUUGAUGUUUUGAGUUGUAAAAGGGUCCAUGAAUAUAUAGGCGUGGUCCAUACAAGUGGGGCAAUAAGUAUACAGAUAAUCUAAGAUUUCUAACACGAGGACCAAAAUGAAUUGAGGGAAAAGAGUGGUUUUGAUGUCAAUAAUGUUGCCGUUAGACUUGUCCUCUAUUCAUAACACGUUUUGGUCAGCUCCGAUUUCCUUUUGACUUCGUCUCCAAAUACCUUUCUAUCUUUCUUUGCAUGUUCGAUAAGGUUUUACUAUUCUAAAUAUAUCGACCCUGGUUUACUUGCAAUGUUGUCUGAAAAAGACGGUAGCCAAACUCAAAACCGGGUGCAGUGUAAUAUACAACAAUAAUAUAUUUGGAUCUCAAUCCUUUUAACUAAUUGUUGUAUCAUAUAGUAUUAUUAUCAUCAAUUAAGUAUAAAUUAAUCCUUCUAUUUUGAAAUACGAAUAAUUUGAAUUUUUAACAUACACUUCUAGAUUUUUUAACUGUAUACUCAAAACCAUUGUUUAUAAAAAAUUAUUUUUAAAACAAAAAUAUAUAAUUAAUUAUUUUAUAAUUUAAGCGCCCUAUAUUUCUAAAUAGGGAGUAUUUGAGAACAUUAACCAUAUAUGCAGAAAUGUAUACACACACAACAUGCAUGCAUGUGUUACAUCGUUAUCUGAUCGGGAAAGAAUCACGGGCUGCUAAGCACUGAAAUCGUCAUAAAUAUGAAAUGCAGAUAGGGAGCCUUUAAGAACAUGAAGUGGGUAAGUAAAUGUAUGGACCAAAAGUGUCCUUCGAUUGAUAUAAACAGGGACACCAGCAUUUUCAAUAGCGAAUUCAGCAUUGAAGUUCAAUAACGUUUCAUAGAUGGCAUGGGUCUCACGAUUGAAAUGUUUCGGACUUUAGAGACCACCUGCCGGGUCAUUAUUUAUUAUUGUCAUGUUCAAGUUCAACAGCCAUCCUUAUUAACUGCAUCGCACAAGAAUCCUCAUCAUCGCUUUACCUGAAGAACAUUAACAGUGUUUGAUCAAUUAGGCUGAAACUAAUCGGGCAUCAAUUGCAGGAUAUGCCUUUAAAAUUGGAUUUGACUUAACUUGAUCACUCAAAUUCGUAUAUUUAGGCAGAAAUAUUUGGAUUAAACUCGGUCCAGGUGAUAUAUAAUUUUCGACAAGGCCGGUCUUUAAAUAAAGCAACUAAGACGAACUUCUAGGAUACUAUUAUCUCAGAGUCAAAAGUAUGAAACUCUAUACAUAUAUAGUAUAUAAUGAUAAAUUUAUGUAUUUAUAUAUUUACAUGUUUUUGAAUUGAUUGUAUUAUUAAUCAUAAAAGAAUAAUUUUGUUAUAUCAUUAUAUAAUUUGAAUGUAUGUAAACAUUUCUUCUUAUGAUCAUGAAAGCUAGUGGCAUCCUGUCAAAAAAAAAAAAACUAGUGGCAUUAUUUUUAAAAUUCAUGUAAGACACUCAAAUUUCUAGAGAUGACCCUGAUUUUCGAUCCAGUAUUCGUCCGAAAAUAUUCUGCUGAUAUAUAAUUUUCAAUCGGGUAUUUGGAAGAUGAUGAAAUCUUAAAGUUCUUGACGACCUAAGAAAUUAUUAAUAAACUUUUAGUAGCCGUCUCGUUUUCUUUUGUUUUUCAUGAUAUUUACGUACAUACACAUAUGAUAUCUACUGUAAGUAAUUUAGACUUCCAUGUAUAGAUACAUCAAUAGCAAUAGAAAAACACACACACACAUAUAUAUAUAUAUAUAUAUAUAUAUAUAUAUAUAUAUAUAUUUUUCACAACAAUAGAAAAACAGAUAUGAUAUUAUAACAACAUUGGAGAUAUAUCAUACAUGUAAAUGCCACAAGUAAAAAUCUCAAAUGAUUAUUAAAAUAGUGGUACAUGUGGUUGGUAAAUUAACUUGUUGGGCCGCGCAACACCCUUUAACUCCGCAUUAGUAUGAUAUUGUCCGCUCUGGGCCGUGGCCAAGCCCGCACGGAUUUGCUUUCGGGCUCCUCCCAAAAGGCCUCAUACUAAUGGAGUUCUUUGGCUGCUUAUAUUCAAGAUAAAUCUUCUAUAUCUUUCCGAUGUGGGACUUGGGUUGAACCCACUCAACAAUCUCCCCUCAAUCCAAGAACCACCAAUCUUGUGACCCUUAUACCGCCGCUACUCAUUGAUUCCUCAUCUUGCGGGACGGCGGUACCGCUACUCAUUGAUUUCUCAUCUUGCGGGACACGCCGUCCGACCACCUUUGUCGGAAAGACUUUCGACACAAGCCGUCCAAGAUCUCCAAUCGUAGUUCUGGAGAGCCUCCCCCACAUCGCACAACUGCAGCCCGCAACCCCAAGAUCAACUUCUGAAAACCUGCCUCUGAUACCACUUGUUGGGCCGCGCAACACCCUUUAACUCCGCAUUAGUAUGAUAUUGUCCGCUCUGGGCCAUGGCCAAGCCCGCACGGAUUUGUUUUCGGGCUCCUCCCAAAAGGCCUCAUACUAAUGGAGUUCUUUGGCUGCUUAUAUUGAAGAUAAAUCUUCUAUAUCUUUCCGAUGUGGGACUUGGGUUGAACCCACUCAACAAAUUACUGGUUAAAUUCUUUGAUCCAGAAUAUUUUGAUCUUACACCGUCCACCGAGGCAUAUAAAAAGCUUCGAUUUUAACUCAUUCGAACUAAAGACUUCGUAGAUUCUAUUCUAGAACCCGAAAUUUGACGGACGAACCAAACUUUAAAAAUGAAAGUUGUUGUGAUAUUAGUUUAAUGGUAAACAUCUCCGGCGGCUUAAAGGUAGUUGACAUUGUUUAAUUGUUGUUUGACAUCAUUGUGAUAUACAUACAUGUAUACAGUAUGUCCAACUUGCCUGUGAAAUGUCGAUGAAAAUAUCUUCGUCGUGCAACCACCGGUGUUUACAAAUCUGCUAUUAAUGAUGGCUGCUAGGGCGAUUCUAUUUAUUUAUGACGUCGACAUUCAAAUUUUCUUAAUAAUAUAAUGAAAACAAAUUGGUAUCACAGAUAAAAUAAACAUUAUAAUUGUUGUAGCUUGAAUAAUUUGUUUUUAGACUUUAAGAUAAACUCAUAUAUAUUUAAAUACAUUCAAAAUUAUAUAUAAAAACACAUGCAUAGUUUAAUAUCAUGACACCAUUUAUGUGCUGACAUAAAACCCCUUAUAAAAUGUUAGUUGCAUAUAGGAAAUUUAUGAAAACUUGGCAAUAAAAACUGGUUCUCAAUUUUUUGAAAAUUUUAUCUAACAACAUGUAUGCUCAAUACACAAAUAUAUAAGUCAAAGUGGUGUAAAACGGUAUUUAUUCUAUUUUUAAUAUUUUCAGUAAAGAAAUGGAACUCAAUAUUGAGACAGAUCUAAAUGAUAAAUCACUCCACUAUCUUAACAUAUAUUAUUUGUGUUUGAAAAUCUAGGAGGUAUAUAUAUCUAAUUUUGAUUUUAAUAUAUUUAAAUAAUUAUAAAUUUUAAUAGAUUAUAUUUGAUUUUAAUUUUAUACUGAGUGUAGUAAUCUUGUAAUAAAAUUUAAUAGGGUUGGUGUAGAAUUCUUAUAAUUUAAGUAUAAUUUCUCAAAAUCUCAUGAAUUUAAAGAAAUUUUUGAUAAAAUAUACAAAAUAAUUCAACAAAAUCGAUCAUUCUAUAAAAUUCAAAAAAUACAUCAAAUUUGUAAUACCAACGUAUUUAAAUAAUAAUCAACAUGAUUUAAAAAUUUUAGCAAAUAUAAUAAUCAUUUCAUAGAUGCAAAAUUAAUUGAUUUACCCGAGGUCAGAUCCGAUCCAUCUGAUAUUCUUAAUUCUCAACAAACCUUAUCAUGAUGGUAACCAGAAACACAAAUCUCAUCAUGAUCUAAAAUGAGAAUAAUCAAUAGAAAAAAUGUUGAAUAAUCGCCACGCUGCACUUUAAUAUUGUUGUAUGUUUAUGGCGUAUUUAGAUUCGUUUCUUUGACAGGACUCAAAAGUAUGAAUGCAAGAUCCGUCUAAUGGCAGAAGAAGACGGAUGACGCCACAUGCUAGUUCUGCUCUGUAUAUAUAAAUAAAUAAAUUAAUAUUUUAUAUGAGUAAACAAAAAAAACCUUCUGAAUUCUGAAUAAACGAAAAAAAAUUAGAAAAUCUUGAUUGUUCAAGUGUCAUUUUGCCUUAUGAAUUUAUGUAUAUCUUUUAGUUCAGACUACCUUGGAUGAUGAUAGGGUCCGCAUGUGUUAAUUUAAAACAAAGAAAAAUUAUAAAAUAGAUUUUUUUUUUCUAUUAAUAGUAUGGAAGCAGCAUGAAAAAUUUGGCAUCCAGGUCAUUUGGAAAAAGUUUUAAGAAAAUUUUGACACCUAAUACUACCUAAAUUAAAUACUUCUAAUAUAAAAUAUUUUAUAUCCACCAUAUAUAAGAGUGAAAAAUAAGUUAAGAAUUUUUUUUUUAAUCUUUAACUGGAUUAUCAUUUUCAAUAUUUCACUCGAAAUGAAUUUUUUAAUGUUUUUGAUUCUGAAUUUUGCACAAUGAGUUGUUAGCUAGGUCUGUACUCCGUGUUGUAUAUAUAUCUAGACCUUAUCUACAGUACGCUACCUAUUUUUAAGUUUUUUUUGAUCGAAACCUAUUUUUAAGUUGGUGCAUGGACAGAUACACAAGACACGGGUUUUAGUCCUCCCAGUCAACUCGAGUACUCAACCUUCUGUAUCCAUCGCAGGAUAGUAUUUUCAAGCUGUGAUUUAUCGUCAAUUAUCAAUUAUAUUAAAAGAAACUCGUGAAAUAUUAACACCAGAAAUCUGCACGGUUUAUUAGCUUCUUUUUAUUAAAAUGUAGCUGCAUGCAUUACCCUCGGGAACUAUCUGAUCACAAGUGAUCACUGUCAGCUACUAAGCCCAAACUAGAAAAAAGAUACAAGAUAAAAGUGCAAACUAACAGAUCUAGAGAUGUGUAACGGAUUACACCAUACGUGCAGAACACAAAUCAUCACUGAUUCACACUUGUGUUUAAGAAACCUGUCACAUAUCUGACCAGAGUGACAGAGUAGGAAUACUUUGCUCUUGUCUGAAGAAGUUCUCAGGAUCUACUCUGGUCUUCACCAUAACCAGUGUUUUGAAAUUAUGGUUGUAAUAUUGUUUUCCCCAUUUUCUUGCAUCGAGAUAACCUAUACUCCCUGUGGGAUCAUUCACUCCCAAAUCAAGAUCAUUGUAAUUAGAAUAAGCCCUUCUCGGAUUUUUCGAAACAUACGGAGCCAAGUAACUGUACAAGCUCCUGAUCCAUUCCAACUUCUCAGUUGUAUUCCCAACCCAGAGCACUCUUGUGUACACCAUGUACAAUGUUCCGGCUCUGUUAGGGAAUGGAAGAGCUGAUUCCGAAUACUCGUCCAUUUUUCCUCCGUAAAAUGUAAAGAUGACUGUGGUUUCCCCUACGCCAACUUCCAACAUCUUGUUCCAAAAUCCAUUCAGCCCUUUUUUGGAAAUCGGUUCUCUAACGAAAUCAGAUUUUGCUUUCGUAGGAAUGUCAGCCAAGAAUGUUCUGUCGAGCAAAUCUUCUGGCUUGUAAUUAUCGUCGAAGAGGUUAAAGAAGGAAGAUAUCAUAAUAGCUUGAAUCCAUGUGAGUUCUACAAAAUCCUCUUUAACCAUACCUAAUUCGGGCAAAGUUGAUUGCACAAUUUUAAGUGCUGCUUCAACUCCACCCGUACCAAGGUAUAAUCCCCCAAUGGCGAAUUCGACUGUUUUGCCAUCGGCACGAGCACUUGUAUUGCUCUGAAUUGUGCUGAUUCGCAUCCUCAUCUCGAGUUCAUUUGGAAAUUUCGGGGCAACACUUUGCAUGGCAUAAAUAAUAUCAGUCGCAUUCUGUUCCAAAGUUCUGAAAAGAGUAAAAGACAGAACUGUUUUUGGAACAACAACGAGGUUUAGUUUCCAAGAUAAAAUGACUCCGAAACUCGAACAACUUCCACCUCUUAUCGCCCAAAACAAAUCUUCUCCCAUUGCUUUCCUAUCAAGAAUCCUUCCUUUCACAUCGAUAAUCCGAGCAUCGAUCACAUUGUCAGCAGCCAAACCAUACAUACGUCUCAACGGGCCGUACCCGCCGCCACAAAUUAGUCCAGUGGCUCCAACUGUGGACCAAACGCCAGCCGGGAAAGCGAGCGUAUCGCUUGCCCGGUAAAUCCAGUAGUAAAGUUCACCAAGUGUUGCGCCAGCUUGAACCGUAGCCGUUUUAGCCACGGGGUCAACACUAAUGGCUCGGAGGUUAAUCAUGUCAAGUAACACAAAUGGAAUAUCAUAAGUGCUACUAUACGAAAGACCCUCGAAAUCAUGACCACCGCUUCGGAUUCGAAGCCUCAUACCGUACUUUUUAGCACAAUAUACUACGGUUUGAACUUG